GGUGAUUAAGUUAAUCUGUUUACUACAAUGUCCUACAAGAAGUAGGAUGAAGCUAAGUUCAGCGCUCCUGGGCAGCAAGUCAAUUAAUCCCGGCAACAUCCAGACUCUGCAGGAUAUUUAGUGUCAAAUGGUUUAUUUCACAAAUUGAUGUAAACAAACGGUCGCUUAAAGAAGUCGCUGCGUCUUGAGGAUGUCUUAAACGGCUAUCACAAGGAUAUGAUUACUCAG
This is a long non-coding RNA of Triticum aestivum (bread wheat), 228 nucleotides long. RefSeq lists it as uncharacterized. The transcript is spliced from 3 exons. NCBI's taxonomy places the organism in Eukaryota, Viridiplantae, Streptophyta, Magnoliopsida, Poales, Poaceae. The record is from RefSeq and is a predicted model, not a curated record.